RNAcentral lists this ribosomal RNA (630 nucleotides) under Variovorax sp. EECC-350. Its description in RNAcentral is "bacterial SSU rRNA". It matches the Rfam family "Bacterial small subunit ribosomal RNA", at positions 101 to 727 of the family's 1533-position model. Lineage: Bacteria; Pseudomonadati; Pseudomonadota; Betaproteobacteria; Burkholderiales; Comamonadaceae. The record is from RNAcentral.
AACGGGUGAGUAAUACAUCGGAACGUGCCCAAUCGUGGGGGAUAACGCAGCGAAAGCUGUGCUAAUACCGCAUACGAUCUACGGAUGAAAGCAGGGGAUCGCAAGACCUUGCGCGAAUGGAGCGGCCGAUGGCAGAUUAGGUAGUUGGUGAGGUAAAGGCUCACCAAGCCUUCGAUCUGUAGCUGGUCUGAGAGGACGACCAGCCACACUGGGACUGAGACACGGCCCAGACUCCUACGGGAGGCAGCAGUGGGGAAUUUUGGACAAUGGGCGCAAGCCUGAUCCAGCCAUGCCGCGUGCAGGAUGAAGGCCUUCGGGUUGUAAACUGCUUUUGUACGGAACGAAACGGCCUUUUCUAAUAAAGAGGGCUAAUGACGGUACCGUAAGAAUAAGCACCGGCUAACUACGUGCCAGCAGCCGCGGUAAUACGUAGGGUGCAAGCGUUAAUCGGAAUUACUGGGCGUAAAGCGUGCGCAGGCGGUUAUGUAAGACAGUUGUGAAAUCCCCGGGCUCAACCUGGGAACUGCAUCUGUGACUGCAUAGCUAGAGUACGGUAGAGGGGGAUGGAAUUCCGCGUGUAGCAGUGAAAUGCGUAGAUAUGCGGAGGAACACCGAUGGCGAAGGCAAUCC